GGGACAUGAGGAAAACAGCCGAGGGCAAGGGCACAGGGCCAAGCGAGGAUGUGGUCUCAGCUGAAGCUCAGCUUCAGUCUGAUCCCUGGGGAAGCUAUGGAGGACACACUGCACCAGAGAGCUAAUCUCACAUUUAGGUCCCCAAGGUGGAGACUUCAAAUAUGCGAUCAGUCAUUAAGAUAAAGGAAUGUGAGAGAGAACUUGGGAGACUCUUAGCAGUUAACUUUCUUCUUUUCUGAUGUAUUUUCUUGGCACCUCCAUAAAGAAGAUAGAUAGGACAUUGUGUUUUUCAACUUAACUUUGUUUCAGUGUAGUUUAUUUUUAUGUUCUCCUAUUAGCUAAUUCGGACACUGUAUAUUUGCAAGACGCCGUUAACAUAAACGUUUUAUUAAAAGUGUGUCUCUGUACCCUAAUGUGAGGGAAUCUGCCAGGUUGCAGCACAGAAAUGGUUUUGCCUCAGAAAAUAUGGGAAGUCUUGAGGAUAUUACAGGAUCCACCACCUCUCCCAGAAAGCAAACCAAGUUCAGACACCCUCUAUGAGCUGAUACAGACAAAGGAAGCAGGCAGAAGAUACAUUCACCCUCAACACACAUUCACCUAAUUCAAAACACAAAACUUCUGCUACAAACACUAAUUCAUCAAUUCCAAUUCCCUAAUUUGGAAUUCAUAAUAAUGAAUUAUGAACUGUGGUUAACAUUACACUGUUAGUCUUUGUACAAUCUUUGAUGAGUUAAUCAAGCAAAUUUGUGGUGUAAGCCUGGGGAGAGAGGGGUAAACUACUUAGAAAACAAAAAGAUUUAAAACUGUUUCUGAACUUUCAGUUUUUUGUUGCAACCACUAUUAUUAGGGGGUCUUCAAUAUUCAUUAAAAGUAGGCUCAGCAAGUCAGCAAUUUGGCAACAUUUUAUUAUCAGUUUAAGUUACAUUUACAUCAUAGUCCUGAAGUGGUAAUAUAUUUUUCUAUCCCAUAAUUCCUUUAUGAUAACAGUUUACUCAAUUUUAUAUUAAAACACCUGUAAAGACACAAAAAUAUGAAAAUUUACAAUAUGGAAAACCCUCACAGGUGAUCAGCGACUAUCUGAGACCAGUGUCAUGCAGGUGGGUAAGAAGAAUUUGAAAUUACUCUUGUGACCCUGUGGCUCUUUGCCCAUCUUCCCAGUGGUAUUCAUUGCCUCAGAGAGAGGUGUGUACUACAUACAACAAAGGUGCCAUCAAUCGGCUUUGAGUUUAAAAGACAACAGUUUUAAAAGUUGGGCAUUCAAUUGCAAGAGCUUAACCCUUGGAGGAAAAAAAAAACAUUUUCUGAAUUCCACAUCUCCCUUUAGAAAAUUCUUCCUUCUUUUUCAAAAACAAUUAACGUAGAAGAAAUUAUGGAAUUAACCAUUUAGUAACCAUCAUAACUGACUCAGGUAAGUAUCACCAAUGAACGAUAAAACUAGUGGGUGACAGUUUGAGGAAUAAUAGGAUAAUAGCCUCAAAGUAUCUAUCUCCCCACAAGAUAAUUUAUUAAUUACCAAAGGAAAAAUAGUAACUUUACCAUGAAGAAACCUGGUAGACACCAUUUUCAUUUAAAGUGGCCAGAGUUAACAUUGUGAGCAUCAGGACAAUCACCGUCAUGCACUUCCUGAUCUGAUUCAUUGAGAAGGACACUAUCACUUCUGUGGGAUUCCUGCCAAAAACUCAUAACCUGAACCUAACCGAGCAGAAACAAACCAACCCAAACUAGAGGACAUGCUACAAAAUAAUAGGCCUACUAUCUUCAAAAAUGCCUGUGUCAUAAAACACCAAGACUAAAAGGUAUGACAAUAAUGUAAUGCAUAGCCUGAGAUUUUUCUUUUGCUAUAAAGGAUAUUAGAGGGACAAUUGGCAAAAUCUCAAUAAAGCCUAUAGAUAAUUGCAAAAUAAUCAUUUCCUGAUUUAUAUGUAUAAUCGUGCAUGUAUGUGUGUAUAUGUGUGUCCUUGUGUGGAGAGGGAAAGAGAAAAGAGAAUGUGGUAAAAUGUUAACAUUUGGAGACUCUGGAUAGAGAGUAUUUGAGAAUCCUUUGUACUUUUCCUAUGACUUUAAAUCUGAUCAAAA
RNAcentral lists this long non-coding RNA (2076 nucleotides) under Homo sapiens (human). RNAcentral's name for it is "HSALNT0218879". Lineage: Eukaryota; Metazoa; Chordata; Mammalia; Primates; Hominidae. The record is from RNAcentral.